CUCCUCGUGGUGUAAAGGAUAACACACAAGAUUCCGGUUCUUGCGAUGGGGGUUCGAUUCCCUCCGAGGAGGCUA
Molecule: transfer RNA, 75 nt
Filed under: Allobacillus sp. SKP2-8
Lineage: Bacteria; Bacillati; Bacillota; Bacilli; Caryophanales; Bacillaceae
Description: tRNA-Arg
Rfam family: tRNA
About the family: Transfer RNA (tRNA) molecules are approximately 80 nucleotides in length.
Source: RNAcentral